RNAcentral lists this ribosomal RNA (328 nucleotides) under Ero sp. GH1092. Its description in RNAcentral is "partial 12S ribosomal RNA". The record is from RNAcentral. Lineage: Eukaryota; Metazoa; Arthropoda; Arachnida; Araneae; Mimetidae.
AUUAAAACAAACUAGGUAGUAUCAAAAUUUUAUAAAAACCUAUAUAAAAUGGCGGCAUUUUCCCUAAUUAGAGGAACAUGUUUAUUAAUCGACAACACACGUUAAAUCCUACUUAUGUUAAAAUUUUAUAUACCUCCGUAUAUAGAAUUAUUUUUAAAACUUUUUCAAAAUAAAAAUCUAAAAAAAUAGGUAAAGGUGUAAAGUAUACUUAAGAAUUAAUGUGUUACACUAAAAAUAAUUUAAGGAAUAAUUUUCAAAAUCAUUAAAAAAUAGGAUUUAAAAGUAAUACUUAAAUAAUAUUUAUCUAUGAAUUAGGAUAAAAAUGUGU